AUGGGGAUAGCAUGUAAAUGAAGUCUCAACAUUUUCUUCGUAUCUCAGUCUUUACCAGAUUUAGGAGUAACAAGGCAGCUCUCACAAGAUGCUACACAGAUCAAACAGAAAGGUGGAUAUUUGGAGAGAACAGUCUUCUCCCACUGAUGAGUUGGAGGAAAAUAUUUAAGAGGCUGCCAUGGGAUUUCAGUCCUAUUCCAUAUCCAAUCCACUAUAACUUAGAAGAAAAUUCACAGUUCUUGCUCAUCUAAUUUUCUGAGAGUAAACCUCGAGACCAAUCCAGAAAUAAAUUGCCAAACUUCUAUCAAAUAAUUCAAAAGAAGACCCAGGACUCUUGAUGAUACACUUGAGGUCACUAAAUAUGAAAGAUGAUAGCAUCUUGGAAGGCAACAGCAGAGGAAAGGAGAAUUUUCACAGGGAAGAGGAAAGAGUUGGUGAAAGUGAAAUUGCUUUAACAAAAUAAUGAUCUCUAUACCUCCUACUCAAACUGUGGUUUGAAGGACAGUAUCAUCAGCAUCACUUGGAGCUUGUGAGAAAUUUAGAAUUUCAAGGUCCCCUCGACCCCAACUUACUGGUGCAAACUCUGUAUUGUAACCCGAUCCCCAAGGUGAUUCUAGUGUACAUUAAAGUGUGAGGGUCUUGUUGUUAUGAACAGAUUCUUAUAGUGCUGCAAUUUAGAAUAUCUUUUAAGAAUUAUGAAGACAAUUUUGUGUCUCUUGUAUCUGAAAUAAGUAUUAAAGGCAAAAUAUAUAUUG
This is a long non-coding RNA of Pongo pygmaeus (Bornean orangutan), 755 nucleotides long. RefSeq lists it as uncharacterized. The transcript is spliced from 4 exons. The record is from RefSeq and is a predicted model, not a curated record. NCBI's taxonomy places the organism in Eukaryota, Metazoa, Chordata, Mammalia, Primates, Hominidae.